AGUGAACGCUGGCGGUAGGCCUAACACAUGCAAGUCGAACGGCAGCACAGUAAGAGCUUGCUCUUACGGGUGGCGAGUGGCGGACGAGUGAGGAAUACAUCGGAAUCUACUUUUUCGUGGGGGAUAACGUAGGGAAACUUACGCUAAUACCGCAUACGACCUACGGGUGAAAGCAGGGGAUCUUCGGACCUUGCGCGAAUGAAUGAGCCGAUGUCGGAUUAGCUAGUUGGCGGGGUAAAGGCCCACCAAGGCGACGAUCCGUAGCUGGUCUGAGAGGAUGAUCAGCCACACUGGAGCUGAGACGCGGUCCAGACUCCUACGGGAGGCAGCAGUGGGGAAUAUUGGACAAUGGGCGCAAGCCUGAUCCAGCCAGACCGCGUGGGUGAAGAAGGCCUUCGGGUUGUAAAGCCCUUUUGUUGGGAAAGAAAAGCAGCAGGUUAAUACCCCGCUGUUCUGACGGUAACCAAAGAAUAAGCACCGGCUAACUUCGUG
This 492-nucleotide ribosomal RNA is filed under the name uncultured bacterium. Its description in RNAcentral is "partial 16S ribosomal RNA". It matches the Rfam family "Bacterial small subunit ribosomal RNA", at positions 29 to 507 of the family's 1533-position model. The record is from RNAcentral.